This 301-nucleotide ribosomal RNA is filed under the name uncultured bacterium. RNAcentral describes it as "partial 16S ribosomal RNA". It matches the Rfam family "Bacterial small subunit ribosomal RNA", at positions 509 to 807 of the family's 1533-position model. The record is from RNAcentral.
CAGUCGCCACGGUAAAACGAAGGGGGCUAGCGUUGCUCGGAAUCACUGGGCGUAAAGGGUGCGUAGGCGGGUCUUUAAGUCAGGGGUGAAAUCCUGGAGCUCAACUCCAGAACUGCCUUUGAUACUGAAGAUCUUGAGUUCGGGAGAGGUGAGUGGAACUGCGAGUGUAGAGGUGAAAUUCGUAGAUAUUCGCAAGAACACCAGUGGCGAAGGCGGCUUACUGGCUCGAAACUGACGCUGAGGCGCGAAAGCGUGGGGAGCAAACAGGAUUAGAUACCCCAGUAGUCCCUGUCUCUUAUAC